UACGGAAGGGGCAAGCGUUGUUCGGAAUCAUUGGGCGUAAAGGGCGCGUAGGUGGUCUUGUAUGUCUACCGUGAAAGCGUACGGCUCAACUGUAUUUUGUCGGUAGAAACUGCAGGACUUGAGGCUGGGAGGGGCUGGUGGAAUUCCCUGUGUAGCGGUGAAAUGCGUAGAGAUGGGGGAGAACACUCGUGGCGAAGGCGGCCAGCUAGACCAGUUCUGACACUGAGGCGCGACAGCGUGGGGAGCAAACAGG
RNAcentral lists this ribosomal RNA (253 nucleotides) under uncultured bacterium. RNAcentral's name for it is "partial 16S ribosomal RNA". It matches the Rfam family "Bacterial small subunit ribosomal RNA", at positions 524 to 776 of the family's 1533-position model. The record is from RNAcentral.